This 2933-nucleotide ribosomal RNA is filed under the name Escherichia coli. Its description in RNAcentral is "bacterial LSU rRNA". It matches the Rfam family "Bacterial large subunit ribosomal RNA". The record is from RNAcentral. Lineage: Bacteria; Pseudomonadati; Pseudomonadota; Gammaproteobacteria; Enterobacterales; Enterobacteriaceae.
GGGUUGUGAGGUUAAGCGACUAAGCGUACACGGUGGAUGCCCUGGCAGUCAGAGGCGAUGAAGGACGUGCUAAUCUGCGAUAAGCGUCGGUAAGGUGAUAUGAACCGUUAUAACCGGCGAUUUCCGAAUGGGGAAACCCAGUGUGUUUCGACACACUAUCAUUAACUGAAUCCAUAGGUUAAUGAGGCGAACCGGGGGAACUGAAACAUCUAAGUACCCCGAGGAAAAGAAAUCAACCGAGAUUCCCCCAGUAGCGGCGAGCGAACGGGGAGCAGCCCAGAGCCUGAAUCAGUAUGUGUGUUAGUGGAAGCGUCUGGAAAGGCGCGCGAUACAGGGUGACAGCCCCGUACACAAAAAUGCACAUAUUGUGAGCUCGAUGAGUAGGGCGGGACACGUGGUAUCCUGUCUGAAUAUGGGGGGACCAUCCUCCAAGGCUAAAUACUCCUGACUGACCGAUAGUGAACCAGUACCGUGAGGGAAAGGCGAAAAGAACCCCGGCGAGGGGAGUGAAAAAGAACCUGAAACCGUGUACGUACAAGCAGUGGGAGCACGCUUAGGCGUGUGACUGCGUACCUUUUGUAUAAUGGGUCAGCGACUUAUAUUCUGUAGCAAGGUUAACCGAAUAGGGGAGCCGAAGGGAAACCGAGUCUUAACUGGGCGUUAAGUUGCAGGGUAUAGACCCGAAACCCGGUGAUCUAGCCAUGGGCAGGUUGAAGGUUGGGUAACACUAACUGGAGGACCGAACCGACUAAUGUUGAAAAAUUAGCGGAUGACUUGUGGCUGGGGGUGAAAGGCCAAUCAAACCGGGAGAUAGCUGGUUCUCCCCGAAAGCUAUUUAGGUAGCGCCUCGUGAAUUCAUCUCCGGGGGUAGAGCACUGUUUCGGCAAGGGGGUCAUCCCGACUUACCAACCCGAUGCAAACUGCGAAUACCGGAGAAUGUUAUCACGGGAGACACACGGCGGGUGCUAACGUCCGUCGUGAAGAGGGAAACAACCCAGACCGCCAGCUAAGGUCCCAAAGUCAUGGUUAAGUGGGAAACGAUGUGGGAAGGCCCAGACAGCCAGGAUGUUGGCUUAGAAGCAGCCAUCAUUUAAAGAAAGCGUAAUAGCUCACUGGUCGAGUCGGCCUGCGCGGAAGAUGUAACGGGGCUAAACCAUGCACCGAAGCUGCGGCAGCGACGCUUAUGCGUUGUUGGGUAGGGGAGCGUUCUGUAAGCCUGUGAAGGUGUGCUGUGAGGCAUGCUGGAGGUAUCAGAAGUGCGAAUGCUGACAUAAGUAACGAUAAAGCGGGUGAAAAGCCCGCUCGCCGGAAGACCAAGGGUUCCUGUCCAACGUUAAUCGGGGCAGGGUGAGUCGACCCCUAAGGCGAGGCCGAAAGGCGUAGUCGAUGGGAAACAGGUUAAUAUUCCUGUACUUGGUGUUACUGCGAAGGGGGGACGGAGAAGGCUAUGUUGGCCGGGCGACGGUUGUCCCGGUUUAAGCGUGUAGGCUGGUUUUCCAGGCAAAUCCGGAAAAUCAAGGCUGAGGCGUGAUGACGAGGCACUACGGUGCUGAAGCAACAAAUGCCCUGCUUCCAGGAAAAGCCUCUAAGCAUCAGGUAACAUCAAAUCGUACCCCAAACCGACACAGGUGGUCAGGUAGAGAAUACCAAGGCGCUUGAGAGAACUCGGGUGAAGGAACUAGGCAAAAUGGUGCCGUAACUUCGGGAGAAGGCACGCUGAUAUGUAGGUGAAGUCCCUCGCGGAUGGAGCUGAAAUCAGUCGAAGAUACCAGCUGGCUGCAACUGUUUAUUAAAAACACAGCACUGUGCAAACACGAAAGUGGACGUAUACGGUGUGACGCCUGCCCGGUGCCGGAAGGUUAAUUGAUGGGGUUAGCCGCAAGGCGAAGCUCUUGAUCGAAGCCCCGGUAAACGGCGGCCGUAACUAUAACGGUCCUAAGGUAGCGAAAUUCCUUGUCGGGUAAGUUCCGACCUGCACGAAUGGCGUAAUGAUGGCCAGGCUGUCUCCACCCGAGACUCAGUGAAAUUGAACUCGCUGUGAAGAUGCAGUGUACCCGCGGCAAGACGGAAAGACCCCGUGAACCUUUACUAUAGCUUGACACUGAACAUUGAGCCUUGAUGUGUAGGAUAGGUGGGAGGCUUAGAAGUGUGGACGCCAGUCUGCAUGGAGCCGACCUUGAAAUACCACCCUUUAAUGUUUGAUGUUCUAACGUUGACCCGUAAUCCGGGUUGCGGACAGUGUCUGGUGGGUAGUUUGACUGGGGCGGUCUCCUCCUAAAGAGUAACGGAGGAGCACGAAGGUUGGCUAAUCCUGGUCGGACAUCAGGAGGUUAGUGCAAUGGCAUAAGCCAGCUUGACUGCGAGCGUGACGGCGCGAGCAGGUGCGAAAGCAGGUCAUAGUGAUCCGGUGGUUCUGAAUGGAAGGGCCAUCGCUCAACGGAUAAAAGGUACUCCGGGGAUAACAGGCUGAUACCGCCCAAGAGUUCAUAUCGACGGCGGUGUUUGGCACCUCGAUGUCGGCUCAUCACAUCCUGGGGCUGAAGUAGGUCCCAAGGGUAUGGCUGUUCGCCAUUUAAAGUGGUACGCGAGCUGGGUUUAGAACGUCGUGAGACAGUUCGGUCCCUAUCUGCCGUGGGCGCUGGAGAACUGAGGGGGGCUGCUCCUAGUACGAGAGGACCGGAGUGGACGCAUCACUGGUGUUCGGGUUGUCAUGCCAAUGGCACUGCCCGGUAGCUAAAUGCGGAAGAGAUAAGUGCUGAAAGCAUCUAAGCACGAAACUUGCCCCGAGAUGAGUUCUCCCUGACUCCUUGAGAGUCCUGAAGGAACGUUGAAGACGACGACGUUGAUAGGCCGGGUGUGUAAGCGCAGCGAUGCGUUGAGCUAACCGGUACUAAUGAACCGUGAGGCUUAACCUUACAACGCCGAAGGUGUUU